AUUGAACGCUGGCGGCAGGCCUAACACAUGCAAGUCGAGCGGAUGAAGGGAGCUUGCUCCUGGAUUCAGCGGCGGACGGGUGAGUAAUGCCUAGGAGUCUGCCUGGUAGUGGGGGAUAACGUCCGGAAACGGGCGCUAAUACCGCAUACGUCCUGAGGGAGAAAGUGGGGGAUCUUCGGACCUCACGCUAUCAGAUGAGCCUAGGUCGGAUUAGCUAGUUGGUGGGGUAAAGGCCUACCAAGGCGACGAUCCGUAACUGGUCUGAGAGGAUGAUCAGUCACACUGGAACUGAGACACGGUCCAGACUCCUACGGGUGGCAGCAGUGGGGAAUAUUGGACCAUGGGCGAAAGCCUGAUCCAGCCAUGCCGCGUGUGUGAAGAAGGUCUUCGGAUUGUAAAGCACUUUAAGUUGGGAGGAAGGGCAGUAAGUUAAUACCUUGCUGUGUUGACGUUACCAACAGAAUAAGCACCGGCUAACUUCGUG
Molecule: ribosomal RNA, 484 nt
Filed under: uncultured bacterium
Lineage: Bacteria
Description: partial 16S ribosomal RNA
Rfam family: Bacterial small subunit ribosomal RNA
Source: RNAcentral